Tribolium madens (black flour beetle) is the source of this 1073-nucleotide long non-coding RNA. RefSeq lists it as uncharacterized. NCBI's taxonomy places the organism in Eukaryota, Metazoa, Arthropoda, Insecta, Coleoptera, Tenebrionidae. The record is from RefSeq and is a predicted model, not a curated record. The transcript has 4 exons.
CUGAGAAAUUGCAGUAGACGCCCAAACAAACGUUAUUACUUAUUACACAAAAGUGCUGAGUGUAUUUUUGAUAAUUAGUACGUGCAAACUUUUGUGCAACUAACAAAUCACAAAUUACACAGUUGCGUAAUUUGCAAUGUUUUACUAUUAAUUCUAAGAAAACUAAAAAAUAUUAUGUCAAUGCAAUAUUAAUGGUAGGUAUGCAAUGAUGAUUUUGAAAUAAUCACACAAUUUUUUUUCUGGGUAACGACGAAAGUUGUGUCAGACUUGUUUGUUCCGUAUGUCAUGAUCUAACUCCUUAGUCGGGAAGUUAUUAUGUACUAUGUAGGACUGUGAAGGUUACGAGCUCAUCGCAAACAGUGCGACGUUCAAAAAUAACAUGACAAAAAUUAACCAAUAAAUCCGAAUCUGCGAAAAAAUUAAAAAAAAAAUUUCUUGACCUAAGGAACCAUCUCGUAAAAUCUUUCAACGUUUUUUCCGGACAGCCUAUUUAUUGAAAUGAAGAAAGAUGAUGACCAACGAGAGAAAAGAGACAGACCGCUUUUGUAUAUAAGAUGGAAUUUUUUUAAAAAAGACAUUAAGGAUGUUCUUAUUGUAAUUUUUGCCAUCGCAGUGGUUUUUAUUAUUUUAUACUUAAAAAAUCUUUUGCCCAAACAACUUUUUUUGACAUAAGAUGGGUCCAACCAUGAACAACCAUUCAACUGCUUUUUGGAAAUUCUGCAAGGACGACUGUAAGGGUAUUUUUGUGGUUCUAGCAAUCGUAACAAUUUGCGUACCAAUGUCUAUGUUUGUUGUUUAUUGUAUUCAGCGUUUUUUAAAAGAUUCAAGAGAAGAUAUUUCACAAAAUCAGCAAACUAAACACAAACAUGAAGAACCUCAGGAAACGAAGAAACGUCCACAAUUAAAAUUUCUAGUGAAGGAUCUUGAAGUUAGAAACAUUAACGGUUAUAAUCAUUUUAAGAAUUUUAAUUAUGUAAUAUAAAAAAUGUUAUGUAGGUACUUUUUAUUUAUGCCAAACGUAAAUUUUAUGUUGUGUUUCAGUUGAUUUGCUUGUAUUAAAAAAUAAUAACAUA